Molecule: ribosomal RNA, 398 nt
Filed under: uncultured bacterium
Lineage: Bacteria
Description: partial 16S ribosomal RNA
Rfam family: Bacterial small subunit ribosomal RNA
Source: RNAcentral
CCUACGGGCGGCAGCAGUGAGGAAUAUUGGUCAAUGGACGCGAGUCUGAACCAGCCAAGUAGCGUGAAGGAUGACGGCCCUAUGGGUUGUAAACUUCUUUUAUCAGGGAGUAAAACGCGCCACGCGUGGCGUUUUGAAAGUACUUGAUGAAUAAGCAUCGGCUAACUCCGUGCCAGCAGCCGCGGGAAUACGGAGGAUGCGAGCGUUAUCCGGAUUUAUUGGGUUUAAAGGGAGAGUAGAGGGGAAGUUAAGUCAGUCGUGAAAGUUUGGGGCUCAACCCUUUAAGUGCAGUUGAUACUGGUAGUCUUGAGUACACUUGAGGUAGGCGGAAUGCGUGGUGUAGCGGUGAAAUGCAUAGAUAUCACGCAGAACCCCGAUUGCGAAGGCAGCAUACCAGC